This 253-nucleotide ribosomal RNA is filed under the name uncultured bacterium. RNAcentral's name for it is "partial 16S ribosomal RNA". It matches the Rfam family "Bacterial small subunit ribosomal RNA", at positions 524 to 776 of the family's 1533-position model. The record is from RNAcentral.
UACAGAGGGUGCAAGCGUUAAUCGGAAUGACUGGGCGUAAAGGGCACGUAGGCGGCUAGAUGUGUUAUAGGUGAAAUCCCCGGGCUUAACCUGGGAACUGCCUGUAAAACUGUGUAGCUAGAAUAUAGAAGAGGUAAGUGGAAUUUCCGGUGUAGCGGUGAAAUGCGUAGAUAUCGGAAAGAACACCAGUGGCGAAGGCGACUUACUGGUCUAAUAUUGACGCUGAGGUGCGAAAGCGUGGGGAGCAAACGGG